This is a long non-coding RNA of Homo sapiens (human), 887 nucleotides long. The record is from Ensembl. NCBI's taxonomy places the organism in Eukaryota, Metazoa, Chordata, Mammalia, Primates, Hominidae.
AGAGGAAGCACGUGGAGAAGGCGGAGCCGCCCAGGUCCCCCCGGGCGUCGAUGAAUGUGGGGUACCAUUCCUUGAUGAUGUGGUCAUGUUUGUAGUCGGCCUUAUUGUCCUUUAGAUGUUCCACGGUGUUCCGCUCGCUCUUCUCAUAGGCCUCCCGGGGCUUCCGGACAGACACCUUGCAUUCUCGGACCUUGUUGACGAUGAAUUCUUGGAUGAGAAACCUGAUAUCUUCCAUGAGUCAUCAUAAAGAAGUCUGAAUAUCUUGGUUGAGAGCUAGACUUUGGAAACAGAGAGACCCUGUAUAAUAACAGACUAAGAAGUAAGGAAGACAAGCCCAGCCAGUCCCACAACUAUUUCAUUAAUACCAGGUAAAGCAACAGACCUGCCAGUGAAGCAUCUUGGAUCCUUUAGCUUUAGGCUCAUAGGUGGAAGGAACUUAUCUCAAAUGAAGUUUUGUACCAUGGACUUUUGUGUUAAUGGAGAAAUGAGUUAAGACUUUGGGUAAUUUUUGAACAGCAUGAUUGGUUUUGAAAUGUGAGGACCUGAGAUUUGGAAGAGGUCAGGGGUGGAAUGAUAUGGUUUGGCUGUGUCCCUAACCAACUCUCAUCUUGAAUUGUAGCUCCCAUAAUCUCUGUAUGUCAUGGGAGGGACCCAGUAGGAAGUAAUUGAAUCAUAAGGGCAGGUCUUUCCUGUGCUGUUCUCAUGGUAGGGAUUAAGUCCCAGAAGAUCUGAUGAUUUUGUAAAGAGCAGUUCCCAUACACAGAUUCUCUUGUGUGCCGCCGUGUAAGACAUGCCUUUGCUCCUCCUUUGCCUUCAGCCGUGGUUGUGAGACCUCCCCAGUCAUGUGGAACUGUGAGUUCAUUAAACCUCCUUUUCUUUAUAAAUUA